This 433-nucleotide ribosomal RNA is filed under the name uncultured bacterium. RNAcentral's name for it is "partial 16S ribosomal RNA". It matches the Rfam family "Bacterial small subunit ribosomal RNA", at positions 29 to 507 of the family's 1533-position model. The record is from RNAcentral.
AACGAACGCUGGCGGCAUGCCUAACACAUGCAAGUCGAACGAGACCUUCGGGUCUAGUGGCGCACGGGUGCGUAACGCGUGGGAACCUGCCCUUAGGUUCGGAAUAACUCCCCGAAAGGGGUGCUAAUACCGGAUAAUGUCUUCGGACCAAAGAUUUAUCGCCUUUGGAUGGGCCCGCGUUGGAUUAGCUAGUUGGUAGGGUAAAAGCCUACCAAGGCGACGAUCCAUAGCUGGUCUGAGAGGAUGAUCAGCCACACUGGGACUGAGACACGGCCCAGACUACUACGGGAGGCAGCAGUGGGGAAUAUUGGACAAUGGGCGAAAGCCUGAACCAGCAAUGCCGCGUGAGUGAUGAAGGCCUUAGGGUUGUAAAGCUCUUUUACCCGGGAUGAUAAUGACAGUACCGAGAGAAUAAGCUCCGGCUAACUCCGUG